AUUGAACGCUAGCGGGAUGCUUUACACAUGCAAGUCGAACGGCAGCGCGGACUUCGGUCUGGCGGCGAGUGGCGAACGGGUGUGAAAUGUAUCGGAACGUGCUCAGUAGCGGGGGAUAACUACGCGAAAGCGUAGCUAAUACCGCAUACGCCCUACGGGGGAAACCAGGGGAUCGUAAGACCUUGCACUAUUGGAGCGGCCGAUAUCGGAUUAGCUAGUUGGUGAGGUAACGGCCCACCAAGGCGACGAUCCGUAGCUGGUUUGAGAUGACGGCCAGCCACACUAGGACUGAGACACGGCCCAGACUACUACGGGACGCAGCAGUGGGGAAUGUUGGACAAUGGGGGCAACCCUGAUCCAGCCAACCCGCGUGUGCGAUGAAGGCCUUCGGGUUGUAAAGGACUUUUGGCAGGAAAGAAACGUCGCGGGCUAAUACCCCGUGGAACUGACGGUACCUGCAGAAUAAGCACCGGCUAACUACGUG
RNAcentral lists this ribosomal RNA (484 nucleotides) under uncultured bacterium. Its description in RNAcentral is "partial 16S ribosomal RNA". It matches the Rfam family "Bacterial small subunit ribosomal RNA", at positions 30 to 507 of the family's 1533-position model. The record is from RNAcentral.